RNAcentral lists this ribosomal RNA (460 nucleotides) under uncultured bacterium. Its description in RNAcentral is "partial 16S ribosomal RNA". It matches the Rfam family "Bacterial small subunit ribosomal RNA", at positions 338 to 795 of the family's 1533-position model. The record is from RNAcentral.
CCUACGGGUGGCAGCAGUGAGGAAUAUUGGUCAAUGGCCGGAAGGCUGAACCAGCCAUGCCGCGUGAAGGUCAGUGCCCUAUGGGCGUUAAACUUCUUUUGUGCGGGAGCAAUAAUGGUCACGUGUGGCCAGACGAGAGUACCGUACGAAUAAGCAUCGGCUAACUCCGUGCCAGCAGCCGCGGUAAUACGGGGGAUGCAAGCGUUAUCCGGAUUUAUUGGGUGUAAAGGGUGCGUAGGCUGUGAGGUAAGUCAGCGGUGAAAUGCCCCCGCUCAACGGGGUGAAGUGCCAUUGAUACUGGCUGGCUGGAGUGCGGAUGCGGUGGGAGGAAUGUGUGGUGUAGCGGUGAAAUGCAUAGAUAUCACACAGAACACCGAUUGCGAAGGCAUCUCACGAAUCCGCGAUUGACGCUGAUGCACGAAAGCGUGGGUAUCAAACAGGAUUAGAUACCCUGGUAGUC